UUAGAUGUCCGGGGCCGCACGCGCGCUACACUGAAGGAACCAGCGUGUGUUCUCCCGGUCCGGCCGGACCGGGUAACCCGCUGAAACUCCUUCGUGAUAGGGAUAGGGGAUUGUAACUGUUCCCCUCGAACGAGGAAUUCCUAGUAGUCGCGGAUCAUCAGUCCGCGGCGAUUAGGUCCCUGCCCUUUGUCCACACCGCCCGUCGCUACUACCGAUUGAACGAAUUAGUGAGGUCUUCGGACUGGCGUUUCUCUCGGGCCUCGCGUCCGGGGGGACCGGCCGGAAAGAUGACCGAACUUGUUCGUUUAGAGGAAGUAAAAGUCGUAACAAGGUUGCC
This 337-nucleotide ribosomal RNA is filed under the name Pholcus sp. 'Sihala' SL63. RNAcentral describes it as "bacterial SSU rRNA". It matches the Rfam family "Eukaryotic small subunit ribosomal RNA", at positions 1473 to 1804 of the family's 1831-position model. Lineage: Eukaryota; Metazoa; Arthropoda; Arachnida; Araneae; Pholcidae. The record is from RNAcentral.